GGCGCAAGCCGGAGUUGGAUUUGUAGAGAAUGCUUCUGGGUAGCGGCCGGUCUAGGUUCCUUGGAACCGGACGGCAUAGAGGGUGAGAAUCCCGAAUGUAACUGGAUUGCACCCUCCACGUAGCUGCUUCGACGAGUCGAGAUGUUUGUUAGUGCAGCUCUAAAUGGGAGGAUACUUUCUUCUAAACCUAAAUACCGGCCAGAGACCGAUCGCCCACAAGUAGAGUGAAAAAAGGCCCAAAAGCACUUUGGAAAGAGAGUUAAAAAGCACGAAAAAUUUUUGAA
This 284-nucleotide ribosomal RNA is filed under the name Pseudocercospora macadamiae. RNAcentral's name for it is "partial 28S ribosomal RNA". It matches the Rfam family "Eukaryotic large subunit ribosomal RNA", at positions 130 to 412 of the family's 3401-position model. Lineage: Eukaryota; Fungi; Ascomycota; Dothideomycetes; Mycosphaerellales; Mycosphaerellaceae. The record is from RNAcentral.